CCUACGGGAGGCAGCAGUGGGGAAUAUUGGGCAAUGGGCGCAAGCCUGACCCAGCAACGCCGCGUGAAGGAAGAAGGCUUUCGGGUUGUAAACUUCUUUUGUCAGGGACGAAGCAAGUGACGGUACCUGACGAAUAAGCCACUGCUAACUACGCGCCAGCAGCCGCGGUAAUACGUAGGUGGCAAGCGUUAUCCGGAUUUAUUGGGUGCAAAGGUCGUGUAUGCGGGAAUGCAAGUCAGAUGUGAAAACUAGUGGCUCAACCCGUAGACUGCAUUUGAAACUGUAUUUCUUGAGUGCUGGAGAGGCAAUCGGAAUUCCGUGUGUAGCGGUGAAAUGCGUAGAUAUACGGAGGAACACCAGUGGCGAAGGCGGAUUGCUGGACCGUAACUGACGCUGAGGCGCGAAAGCGUGGGGAGCAAACAGGAUUAGAUACCCCAGUAGUC
Molecule: ribosomal RNA, 443 nt
Filed under: uncultured bacterium
Lineage: Bacteria
Description: partial 16S ribosomal RNA
Rfam family: Bacterial small subunit ribosomal RNA
Source: RNAcentral